Molecule: unclassified non-coding RNA, 212 nt
Filed under: soil metagenome
Description: partial contains 5.8S ribosomal RNA, internal transcribed spacer 2, and large subunit ribosomal RNA
Source: RNAcentral
AACACUGUUAACCUGCGGUACCUGCGGAAGGAUCAUUACAAGUGACCCCGGUUUACCACCGGGAUGUUCAUAACCCUUUGUUGUCCGACUCUGUUGCCUCCGGGGCGACCCUGCCUUCGGGCGGGGGCUCCGGGUGGACACUUCAAACUCUUGCGUAACUUUGCAGUCUGAGUAAACUUAAUUAAUAAAUUAAAACUUUCAACAACGGAUCU